This 224-nucleotide long non-coding RNA is filed under the name Elaeis guineensis (African oil palm). Its description in RNAcentral is "long non-coding RNA (EGUI_LNC065590)". The record is from RNAcentral. Lineage: Eukaryota; Viridiplantae; Streptophyta; Magnoliopsida; Arecales; Arecaceae.
AGAUUUAUUUAGAUCAAAUCUAGAGCCCAUUGUUGAGGCACCUUUAAGGAGAUUUGGUAGAGUAUCAUGUCAGCCAGACAAAGACUAUGGUUUCUUGGUCCGGGAUGGAUAUCCUAUUGAACUAGAUGAAAACAAUAAAGAUCCGAUCAAUUACAAGGAUGCGAUGCAGCGAUCCAACUCUGACAAAUGGCUUGAUGCCAUAAAAUUUGAGAUGGAGUCCAUGG